This 4365-nucleotide ribosomal RNA is filed under the name Pseudomonas marginalis. RNAcentral describes it as "23S ribosomal RNA". It matches the Rfam family "Bacterial large subunit ribosomal RNA". Lineage: Bacteria; Pseudomonadati; Pseudomonadota; Gammaproteobacteria; Pseudomonadales; Pseudomonadaceae. The record is from RNAcentral.
GGUCAAGUGAAGAAGCGCAUACGGUGGAUGCCUUGGCAGUCAGAGGCGAUGAAAGACGUGGUAGCCUGCGAAAAGCUUCGGGGAGUCGGCAAACAGACUUUGAUCCGGAGAUGUCUGAAUGGGGGAACCCAGCCAUCAUAAGAUGGUUAUCUUGUACUGAAUACAUAGGUGCAAGAGGCGAACCAGGGGAACUGAAACAUCUAAGUACCCUGAGGAAAAGAAAUCAACCGAGAUUCCCUUAGUAGUGGCGAGCGAACGGGGACUAGCCCUUAAGUGGCUUUGAGAUUAGCGGAACGCUCUGGAAAGUGCGGCCAUAGUGGGUGAUAGCCCUGUACGCGAAAAUCUCUUAGUCAUGAAAUCGAGUAGGACGGAGCACGAGAAACUUUGUCUGAAUAUGGGGGGACCAUCCUCCAAGGCUAAAUACUACUGACUGACCGAUAGUGAACUAGUACCGUGAGGGAAAGGCGAAAAGAACCCCGGAGAGGGGAGUGAAAUAGAUCCUGAAACCGUAUGCGUACAAGCAGUGGGAGCCCACUUUGUUGGGUGACUGCGUACCUUUUGUAUAAUGGGUCAGCGACUUAUUUUCAGUGGCGAGCUUAACCGAAUAGGGGAGGCGUAGCGAAAGCGAGUCUUAAUAGGGCGUCUAGUCGCUGGGAAUAGACCCGAAACCGGGCGAUCUAUCCAUGGGCAGGUUGAAGGUUGGGUAACACUAACUGGAGGACCGAACCGACUACCGUUGAAAAGUUAGCGGAUGACCUGUGGAUCGGAGUGAAAGGCUAAUCAAGCUCGGAGAUAGCUGGUUCUCCUCGAAAGCUAUUUAGGUAGCGCCUCAUGUAUCACUGUAGGGGGUAGAGCACUGUUUCGGCUAGGGGGUCAUCCCGACUUACCAAACCGAUGCAAACUCCGAAUACCUACAAGUGCCGAGCAUGGGAGACACACGGCGGGUGCUAACGUCCGUCGUGAAAAGGGAAACAACCCAGACCGUCAGCUAAGGUCCCAAAGUUAUGGUUAAGUGGGAAACGAUGUGGGAAGGCUUAGACAGCUAGGAGGUUGGCUUAGAAGCAGCCACCCUUUAAAGAAAGCGUAAUAGCUCACUAGUCGAGUCGGCCUGCGCGGAAGAUGUAACGGGGCUCAAACCAUACACCGAAGCUACGGGUAUCACGUAAGUGAUGCGGUAGAGGAGCGUUCUGUAAGCCUGUGAAGGUGAGUUGAGAAGCUUGCUGGAGGUAUCAGAAGUGCGAAUGCUGACAUGAGUAACGAUAAUGGGUGUGAAAAACACCCACGCCGAAAGACCAAGGUUUCCUGCGCAACGUUAAUCGACGCAGGGUUAGUCGGUCCCUAAGGCGAGGCUGAAAAGCGUAGUCGAUGGAAAACAGGUUAAUAUUCCUGUACUUCUGGUUAUUGCGAUGGAGGGACGGAGAAGGCUAGGCCAGCUUGGCGUUGGUUGUCCAAGUUUAAGGUGGUAGGCUGGAGUAUCAGUCAAUGGCGAUGUCGACUGCCGCACCCCAUCGGGAGCAAGCCCCCUCCCACAGUCAAAUCGUGCGCGGCUUAGACGCCCUUCUGCGCCAACAACUCCAGGCCUUCAUGCAACGCCGGGAACAGGCUGUUAUUGAAGUUGUUCCAACGCAACUCAAGGAUGGUGUCGUCCGGCGAGAUUUCGGUCUUGAGCACGUCGUGGAACACUUCGCCGGAGUCGAUGCCGUUAUCCACGUAGUGGAACGAGGCGCCGGUGAGGUACAGCGGUUCACACGGCUGCGUCUCCCUGGUCGCCCAAUCCACCACGGCUUGUCCACGGGCACCGUACAAGGCAUUCCAGGUGGCGUAGGCACCCCGGCGCUCAUAGGGCGAUUCGAUACGGGUAAUACCGGGGUGGAUGUUCAUGAUGCGACGGGCAAACGGCGCGCCCGGACGCACCAGUUCAUCGAGGAUCACCAGCAGGCCGUCCAGCACCACGAUAUCGGCGUUCAACUCCACCAGGGUGUCAUGCAGGCGGCGUUCGAAAUCCUGCUUGCCGGCGACGUGUUCCGCACUGCCCCGAGGCAGGCGCCGAUAGGUCGACGGCACGCUCAGCAGCAGAUCGUUGACCAGGCGCCCCUGCACCCGCAGGUCGGCCGGGUACAGCCACUGGCGGCCGGGCUUAUAGGCAAAGCCGUAGUCGGCCACCAACUGCUGGUCCCGCGGGUUCUGCUCAUCGUCGUCAUACACCACGCCCACCAGGUUGUAGGCCUCGCCCAGUGGCGUAUCGUUGAGCGACCCCACCAGAAACUCCAGCACCGACUUCAUGUAGCGCUCGUGGUCCUUGUAGGCCACCGGCUGGCCGGCCUUGUCGGCGGCGGCAUUGCGCAGGGACCACACGUACACCAGGUUCUUUUUCGUCAUUGUUUCGCUCUCGCUGGAAAGAUCAGGCACGCGCCGAUACGCGUGCGCCUACACCACAAGAACGAACCAGCCCACGCGCAAUUUAUCCGCCACCGCCACCGCCGGGCACGCCGGGCUAAAUAGUCGCGCCAAUCCUUCGUUUGUCAUGGGUAAGGGUCUGUGUGCCCAGCCCCCUCUUUUUCACUUUCCGGGAAGUACUUAUGACCGACCCCAAGCGCUGCGCCUUCAAAGGUUUGCUUGCAUUGCUCAGGCCGUUUCGCACCAUAGUGACGGUCUCCAUCGCCCUGGGCAUGGCCGGCGGCCUGGCCAUCACGCUGUUGCUGGCGACCAUCAAUAACGCGCUGCACACUUCCACCGGCAUGACCCAGGGCGUGAUCCUGAGCUUUGCGGCGCUGUGUGUGCUGGCGCUGACCAGUUCGAUCGUCUCCGAUAUCGGCACCAACUAUGUGGGCCAGCGGAUCAUUGCCGCCCUGCGCAAGGAUCUCGGCGAAAAGGUGCUGUCGGCGCCCAUCGAGCAGAUCGAACAGUAUCGCUCCCACCGCCUGAUCCCGGUGCUGACCCAUGACGUCGACACCAUCAGCGACUUCUCCUUUGCCUUCACCCCGCUGGCCAUCGCCACCACCUAACGAAGUGGUUGAUGCCAUGCUUCCAAGAAAAGCUUCUAAGCUUCAGGUAACCAGGAACCGUACCCCAAACCGACACAGGUGGUUGGGUAGAGAAUACCAAGGCGCUUGAGAGAACUCGGGUGAAGGAACUAGGCAAAAUGGCACCGUAACUUCGGGAGAAGGUGCGCCGGUGAGGGUGAAGGACUUGCUCCGUAAGCCCAUGCCGGUCGAAGAUACCAGGCCGCUGCGACUGUUUAUUAAAAACACAGCACUCUGCAAACACGAAAGUGGACGUAUAGGGUGUGACGCCUGCCCGGUGCCGGAAGGUUAAUUGAUGGGGUUAGCUAACGCGAAGCUCUUGAUCGAAGCCCCGGUAAACGGCGGCCGUAACUAUAACGGUCCUAAGGUAGCGAAAUUCCUUGUCGGGUAAGUUCCGACCUGCACGAAUGGCGUAACGAUGGCGGCGCUGUCUCCACCCGAGACUCAGUGAAAUUGAAAUCGCUGUGAAGAUGCAGUGUAUCCGCGGCUAGACGGAAAGACCCCGUGAACCUUUACUAUAGCUUUGCACUGGACUUUGAAUUUGCUUGUGUAGGAUAGGUGGGAGGCUUUGAAGCGUGGACGCCAGUCUGCGUGGAGCCAACCUUGAAAUACCACCCUGGCAACUUUGAGGUUCUAACUCAGGUCCGUUAUCCGGAUCGAGGACAGUGUAUGGUGGGUAGUUUGACUGGGGCGGUCUCCUCCUAAAGAGUAACGGAGGAGUACGAAGGUGCGCUCAGACCGGUCGGAAAUCGGUCGUAGAGUAUAAAGGCAAAAGCGCGCUUGACUGCGAGACAGACACGUCGAGCAGGUACGAAAGUAGGUCUUAGUGAUCCGGUGGUUCUGUAUGGAAGGGCCAUCGCUCAACGGAUAAAAGGUACUCCGGGGAUAACAGGCUGAUACCGCCCAAGAGUUCAUAUCGACGGCGGUGUUUGGCACCUCGAUGUCGGCUCAUCACAUCCUGGGGCUGAAGCCGGUCCCAAGGGUAUGGCUGUUCGCCAUUUAAAGUGGUACGCGAGCUGGGUUUAGAACGUCGUGAGACAGUUCGGUCCCUAUCUGCCGUGGACGUUUGAGAUUUGAGAGGGGCUGCUCCUAGUACGAGAGGACCGGAGUGGACGAACCUCUGGUGUUCCGGUUGUCACGCCAGUGGCAUUGCCGGGUAGCUAUGUUCGGAAUAGAUAACCGCUGAAAGCAUCUAAGCGGGAAACUAGCCUCAAGAUGAGAUCUCACUGGGACCUUGAGUCCCCUGAAGGGCCGUCGAAGACUACGACGUUGAUAGGUUGGGUGUGUAAGCGCUGUGAGGCGUUGAGCUAACCAAUACUAAUUGCCCGUGAGGCUUGACCAU